RNAcentral lists this ribosomal RNA (341 nucleotides) under uncultured bacterium. Its description in RNAcentral is "bacterial SSU rRNA". It matches the Rfam family "Bacterial small subunit ribosomal RNA", at positions 8 to 334 of the family's 1533-position model. The record is from RNAcentral.
AGAGUUUGAUUAUGGCUCAGGAUGAACGCUGGCGGCACGCUUAACACAUGCAAGUCGAGCGGAGUUUUGUGCGGAAGAUUUCGGUUGGAAGUAUAAAACUUAGCGGCGGACGGGUGAGGAACGCGUGGGUAACCUGCCCUGUACAGGGGGAUAACACAGAGAAAUCUGUGCUAAAACCGCAUAAGCUCACGGGACCGCAUGGUCUUGGGAGAAAAACUCCGGUGGUACAGGAUGGGCCCGCGUCUGAUUAGCUAGUUGGAGAGGUAAGAGCUCACCAAGGCGACGAUCAGUAGCCGGUCUGAGAGGAUGGACGGCCACAUUGGGACUGAGACACGGCCCAA